GGAUAGCAUGCUAUUCUACAAUAGCUACCUUAGCUUUUGAUAUUCAACAAGGAUUGAGUUGUAAUAAUCAUCCAGUAUUGUGAGAUCAUGUUUUGUAAAUUUUAGACAAUAAAUACUUAAGAAACCACAGAAGUUGCUGUGAAAGGCCUUUCAUACAAAUAUGUUAUACAAUGUAUUGGUACAUCCCCAUGGGAUAUACAAACUACCUCACUCUCAAUAGCUAGUAAAAGGUUAGGCCUAGCAGCCAGACAAUGAACCCAUCAAGGGCUUCCAUUGAUACAUAAGAGGGGAACAACCAUAUGAGUCUACGAGAUAACUCAUUAUAGCCACAGACACUAUAAAACUUAUAAUAUUAAAAGGAAAACCAUGAAACUAAUUUUGGUACAACAAGCAUCCAUUCCAUU
RNAcentral lists this long non-coding RNA (404 nucleotides) under Elaeis guineensis (African oil palm). RNAcentral's name for it is "long non-coding RNA (EGUI_LNC045811)". The record is from RNAcentral. Lineage: Eukaryota; Viridiplantae; Streptophyta; Magnoliopsida; Arecales; Arecaceae.